This 117-nucleotide small RNA is filed under the name Epilithonimonas arachidiradicis. RNAcentral's name for it is "Chryseobacterium arachidiradicis Flavo-1 RNA". It matches the Rfam family "Flavo-1 RNA". Lineage: Bacteria; Pseudomonadati; Bacteroidota; Flavobacteriia; Flavobacteriales; Weeksellaceae. The record is from RNAcentral.
UCAUAGCCCCGAUUGUAACGGCAUCCUUUUUUGUUAUUGCGAUUGACAAAUGGUCGAACAUAUUGCUUCACUUCAUUCGCAAUGACAAAAAAGAUAUAGUGGAAAGCGGGAUAAGCU